Molecule: ribosomal RNA, 469 nt
Filed under: Alistipes sp. Z76
Lineage: Bacteria; Pseudomonadati; Bacteroidota; Bacteroidia; Bacteroidales; Rikenellaceae
Description: partial 23S ribosomal RNA
Rfam family: Bacterial large subunit ribosomal RNA
Source: RNAcentral
AUAAAGAAAGGAGAGAAGGGCACAUGAAGGAUGCCUGGGCUCUCGGAGGCGAUGAAGGACGUGACAAGCUGCGAAAAGCCGCGGGAAGGAGCAAAUAUCCUGUGAUCCGCGGAUGUCCGAAUGGGGCAACCCGGCGCGGGCGACCGCGUCACCACCCUUUAAGGGUGGAGCGAACCCGGGGAACUGAAACAUCUCAGUACCCGGAGGAAAAGAAAAUAACCCAAUGAUUGCGCAAGUAGUGGCGAGCGAACGCGCAGGAGCCCAAACCGGCGGUGUCGAGGCACCGACCGGGGUUGUAGGACCGCCAAUGAAUGGACAGGACAAGCGUAGCCGAACCCACUGGAAAGUGGGGCCGCAGCGGGUGACAGCCCCGUAGGCGAAACGCGCGUGAUGACAGAGGCGGCACCUGAGUAAGCCGGGACACGAGGAAUCCUGGCCGAAUCCGCGGGGACCAUCCCGCAAGGCUAAA